RNAcentral lists this ribosomal RNA (253 nucleotides) under uncultured bacterium. RNAcentral describes it as "partial 16S ribosomal RNA". It matches the Rfam family "Bacterial small subunit ribosomal RNA", at positions 524 to 776 of the family's 1533-position model. The record is from RNAcentral.
UACGGAGGAUGCGAGCGUUAUCCGGAUUUACUGGGUGUAAAGGGAGCGUAGACGGCGGUGCAAGCCAGAUGUGAAAGCCCGGGGCUCAACCCCGGGACUGCAUUUGGAACUGUGCUGCUAGAGUGUCGGAGAGGCAGGCGGAAUUCCUAGUGUAGCGGUGAAAUGCGUAGAUAUUAGGAGGAACACCAGUGGCGAAGGCGGCCUGCUGGACGAUGACUGACGUUGAGGCUCGAAAGCGUGGGGAGCAAACAGG